ACUGCCCCGCCCAAGCCCCGCCACUCAAAACAAAACUCAAGGACGUCCGGAACCGAAAACUCUCCCCGCGUUCGAUGUCUCUCUGACGACGAAGAUUCUACGCCGUCCGGCCAAUCACGUUCCACAACCGCAGCCGAGCCCCCGCUGACCUUGAACGGGAUUGGCCGGACGACAUAGAAUCUUCGUCGUCCGAGAGACAUCGAACGCGGGGUCUAUUAUGUUGGAGGGUCCGAGUUUGUCAACGUCUCCAUGGAAACCCAAUUUGACACGUGUGCUUUCAGCACGCUACUACCGGCCGUGAAACACCGCCCCAUUGACGCGGUACGAAUGCGACGAUGGCUACCAAAUGCUGCUGUCUUGACUCUGGUAUAAACAAAGCAAAAAAAAAUUCGCGUCAUUUUUUUUUUACAACGCAUUCUUAUGUACGGUAGGUAAUUCAAAAAUAAUAAUAAUGCGCUCAAAGAAUCGUGAUAGUGAUGCCAGUACCAACUUUGGUUGGGGGUGCCCAGAGCACCUUGGGGGUGCCCAACUCAGCAUUGGGGGUGCCCGGGCACCCCCAAAAGUAUACAAAUCGACACCUAUGACGAGUAGUCAUGGACAAAAAAGAAGAGACAGAAGAUUGCAUGCAGUAAGACACAAGUCACCCAACGGUCAACAGAGCUAUGCUGCAGCUCUUCAUAGUUCCGGUGGCUCUAACUGCAGAUCAUUGAGCGCCUUUCGGUCGACCUCUGACCUGUAGCUGCUGUCGAGGGGGCACCUAAGGCGGUUCGGCUGCUCGAGGACCGAGGGGUCUCCCGCCACGGAGACACAGAGAGGCGGUAUUACUGUCCGACCUUCCUGGAAGCCAUUACCGGCCACUGUAUCCGAGCACUCGCCCCAGAGGAGCACUCGCCAGCCCCGUCCGCCGCACCAGCUUUUCCAGGACGAACGACAACACGGGAGCUGUCGGGGCCGACGGACCGGCAUUGUGGCUCCGCCUGUCCGCCGGCGGCCCGUUUGUUGAUUCAGUCGCGGCACGACGAUCCUCCUCCCACCACGGAGCCCCGCGGCGCGACGACCGG
This is a long non-coding RNA of Amphibalanus amphitrite, 1061 nucleotides long. RefSeq lists it as uncharacterized. The record is from RefSeq and is a predicted model, not a curated record. Lineage: Eukaryota; Metazoa; Arthropoda; Thecostraca; Balanomorpha; Balanidae. The transcript has 3 exons.